GCAAUGGACGAAAGUCUGACCGAGCAACGCCGCGUGAGUGAAGAAGGUUUUCGGAUCGUAAAGCUCUGUUGUAAGUCAAGAACGUGUGUGAGAGUGGAAAGUUCACACAGUGACGGUAGCUUACCAGAAAGGGACGGCUAACUACGUGCCAGCAGCCGCGGUAAUACGUAGGUCCCGAGCGUUGUCCGGAUUUAUUGGGCGUAAAGGGAGCGCAGGCGGUCAGGAAAGUCUGGAGUAAAAGGCUAUGGCUCAACCAUAGUGUGCUCUGGAAACUGUCUGACUUGAGUGCAGAAGGGGAGAGUGGAAUUCCAUGUGUAGCGGUGAAAUGCGUAGAUAUAUGGAGGAACACCAGUGGCGAAAGCGGCUCUCUGGUCUGUCACUGACGCUGAGGCUCGAAAGCGUGGGUAGCGAACAGGAUUAGAUACCCUGGUAGUCCACGCCGUAAACGAUGAGUGCUAG
This 459-nucleotide ribosomal RNA is filed under the name Streptococcus mutans. RNAcentral's name for it is "bacterial SSU rRNA". It matches the Rfam family "Bacterial small subunit ribosomal RNA", at positions 368 to 819 of the family's 1533-position model. The record is from RNAcentral. Lineage: Bacteria; Bacillati; Bacillota; Bacilli; Lactobacillales; Streptococcaceae.